Molecule: ribosomal RNA, 244 nt
Filed under: uncultured Staphylococcus sp.
Lineage: Bacteria; Bacillati; Bacillota; Bacilli; Caryophanales; Staphylococcaceae
Description: partial 16S ribosomal RNA
Rfam family: Bacterial small subunit ribosomal RNA
Source: RNAcentral
CGGCGGACGGGUGAGUAACACGUGGGUAACCUACCUAUAAGACUGGGAUAACUCCGGGAAACCGGGGCUAAUACCGGAUAACACAUGAAACCGCAUGGUUUCAUGAUGAAAGACGGUUUUGCCGUCACUUAUAGAUGGACCCGCGGUGCAUUAGCUAGUUGGUGAGGUAACGGCUCACCAAGGCCACGAUGCAUAGCCGACCUGAGAGGGUGAUCGGCCACACUGGGACUGAGACACGGCCCAG